GUCCUGAAGAAGACACCAAGCAGUGCGAACUCUUGUUUGUGAACAGUGAGGUCUAGGGUUUAAACUUCACCGCUCAUCCAUCCUCAAGUAAAAAAAAUAAAAAAAUCAUAGUUCACAAAGUAUAAGUUUCUAGUCAUUUUAUUGUAAUCUAUAUAAUAUAUAAUAACAACCCCGGAUUUUAUAAAUAGUAACUUACUUUCAGCCCAAUUAAUAAUUUCUAGAUCUGGAAACUAUGUUUUCGUAACUUCCAUUUAUUAUAUAUAAUCUAGAUAAUAGUAUAUUCACAAUCUUUAUAAUUUCCAGCCCGAUUAUUUUUAUAACUUCCGUUUCGAAUACUUAUCUUUAAGCCUAUUGAUAACUACCAUAUGUAGCUCUGU
This 377-nucleotide long non-coding RNA is filed under the name Salvia miltiorrhiza (redroot sage). Its description in RNAcentral is "long non-coding RNA (SMIL_LNC010617)". The record is from RNAcentral. Lineage: Eukaryota; Viridiplantae; Streptophyta; Magnoliopsida; Lamiales; Lamiaceae.